RNAcentral lists this ribosomal RNA (820 nucleotides) under uncultured Pleomorphomonas sp. RNAcentral describes it as "bacterial SSU rRNA". It matches the Rfam family "Bacterial small subunit ribosomal RNA", at positions 8 to 848 of the family's 1533-position model. The record is from RNAcentral. Lineage: Bacteria; Pseudomonadati; Pseudomonadota; Alphaproteobacteria; Hyphomicrobiales; Pleomorphomonadaceae.
AGAGUUUGAUCCUGGCUCAGAACGAACGCUGGCGGCAGGCUUAACACAUGCAAGUCGAACGCUCGCAGCAAUGCGGGAGUGGCAGACGGGUGAGUAACGCGUGGGAACAUACCCUUUGGUUCGGAAUAACUGAGAGAAAUUUCAGCUAAUACCGGAUGUGCCCUUUUUGGGGAAAGAUUUAUCGCCAAAGGAUUGGCCCGCGUCUGAUUAGCUAGUUGGUGGGGUAACGGCUCACCAAGGCGACGAUCAGUAGCUGGUCUGAGAGGAUGAUCAGCCACACUGGGACUGGAACACGGCCCAGACUCCUACGGGAGGCAGCAGUGGGGAAUAUUGCGCAAUGGGCGAAAGCCUGACGCAGCGACGCCGCGUGAGGGAUGAAGGGCUUCGGUUCGUAAACCUCUGUCAGAAGGGAAGAAGUGGGCUCGUGCUAAUCAGCGGGUCUUUGACGGUACCUUCAAAGGAAGCACCGGCUAACUCCGUGCCAGCAGCCGCGGUAAUACGGAGGGUGCAAGCGUUAAUCGGAAUCACUGGGCGUAAAGCGCAUGUAGGCCGCUUUAUAAGUCAGAGGUGAAAUCCCACGGCUUACCCGUGGAAUUGCCUUUGAUACUGUAGAGCUUGAGUCUGUGAGAGGAUAGCAGAAUUCCAGGUGUAGGGGUGAAAUCCGUAGAGAUCUGGAGGAAUAUCAGUGGCGAAGGCGGCUAUCUGGUGCAGUACUGACGCUGAGAUGCGAAAGCGUGGGGAUCAAACAGGAUUAGAUACCCUGGUAGUCCACGCUGUAAACGAUGGAUACUAGGUGUCGGGAGCAUGUCUUUCGGUGCCG